Molecule: ribosomal RNA, 854 nt
Filed under: uncultured Flavobacteriaceae bacterium
Lineage: Bacteria; Pseudomonadati; Bacteroidota; Flavobacteriia; Flavobacteriales; Flavobacteriaceae
Description: bacterial SSU rRNA
Rfam family: Bacterial small subunit ribosomal RNA
Source: RNAcentral
GCUAGCGGCAGGCCUAAUACAUGCAAGUCGAGGGGUAACAGGAAGUGCUUGCACUUCGCUGACGACCGGCGCACGGGUGAGUAUCGCGUAUACAAUCUACCUCAUACUAGGGGAUAGCCCGAAGAAAUUUGGAUUAAUACCCUAUAGUAUCUUUAAAAGGCAUCUUUUUUAGAUUAAAGGUUACGGUAUGAGAUGAGUAUGCGUUCUAUUAGCUCGUAGGUGUGGUAACGGCACACCUAGGCUACGAUAGAUAGGGGCCCUGAGAGGGGGAUCCCCCACACUGGUACUGAGACACGGACCAGACUCCUACGGGAGGCAGCAGUAAGGAAUAUUGGUCAAUGGACGAAAGUCUGAACCAGCCAUGCCGCGUGCAGGAUGACUGCCCUAUGGGUUGUAAACUGCUUUUAUAUAGGAAGAAAAACUUUCUCGUGAGAAAGCUUGACGGUACUAUAAGAAUAAGGAUCGGCUAACUCCGUGCCAGCAGCCGCGGUAAUACGGAGGAUCCAAGCGUUAUCCGGAAUUAUUGGGUUUAAAGGGUCCGUAGGUGGAUAAAUAAGUCAGAGGUGAAAUCCUGCAGCUUAACUGUAGAACUGCCUUUGAUACUGUUUAUCUUGAGUUAUUAUGAAGUGGUUAGAAUGUGUAGUGUAGCGGUGAAAUGCAUAGAUAUUACACAGAAUACCAAUUGCGAAGGCAGAUCACUAAUAAUCAACUGACACUGAUGGACGAAAGCGUGGGUAGCGAACAGGAUUAGAUACCCUGGUAGUCCACGCCGUAAACGAUGGUCACUAGCUGUUUGGACUUCGGUCUGAGUGGCUAAGCGAAAGUGAUAAGUGACCCACCUGGGGAGUACGUCG